This 425-nucleotide ribosomal RNA is filed under the name uncultured bacterium. Its description in RNAcentral is "partial 16S ribosomal RNA". It matches the Rfam family "Bacterial small subunit ribosomal RNA", at positions 354 to 796 of the family's 1533-position model. The record is from RNAcentral.
GUGGGGAAUCUUGCGCAAUGGGCGAAAGCCUGACGCAGCCAUGCCGCGUGAAUGAUGAAGGUCUUAGGAUUGUAAAAUUCUUUCACCGGGGACGAUAAUGACGGUACCCGGAGAAGAAGCUCCGGCUAACUUCGUGCCAGCAGCCGCGGUAAUACGAAGGGGGCUAGCGUUGCUCGGAAUUACUGGGCGUCAAGGGCGCGUAGGCGGACAGCUUAGUCAGAGGUGAAAGCCCAGGGCUCAACCUUGGAAUUGCCUUUGAUACUGGCUGUCUUGAGUUUGGGAGAGGUGAGUGGAACUCCGAGUGUAGAGGUGAAAUUCGUAGAUAUUCGGAAGAACACCAGUGGCGAAGGCGACUCACUGGCCCAAUACUGACGCUGAGGCGCGAAAGCGUGGGGAGCAAACAGGAUUAGAAACCCCAGUAGUCC